This 1035-nucleotide ribosomal RNA is filed under the name Triticum aestivum (bread wheat). Its description in RNAcentral is "partial small subunit ribosomal RNA". Lineage: Eukaryota; Viridiplantae; Streptophyta; Magnoliopsida; Poales; Poaceae. The record is from RNAcentral.
AUGUAUGCGUGUGUGCGCACCCAAGUUCCCUGUCAUCCACUCCCCACCUGCUCGCCCUCCAUCUAUUUAAACUCCCCGACCCUCCCCCCACCUUCCCUCGCUCGCUCCUCUCUCGCCCUGCACUUCGGCAUCCUGACUCCUCUGCUCCCCUGCUCCACCGCCGAUCGCCUCCUGCUCCUCGCGGCUAGCUCUCCGGCCAUGGCCUUCCAGUCCCCCGUCGGCUCCCCCUUCGACUGCCUCCUCAUAGACCUCGACGACACGCUGUACCCGGGCAACACCGGCAUUGGGCCAGCGCUGAGGCGCAACAUCGACGAGUUCCUCGUCGCCAGGUUCGGCCUCGCCGCCGACAAGGCCGCCGCGCUCCGCGCCGACCUCUUCCGCUCCCACGGCAGCACCCUCGCCGGCCUCGUCGCGCUCGGCCACGACGUGCACCCGGACGAGUACCACAGCUACGUGCACGGGAGGCUGCCCUACGACGUGAUCACCACGGACCCGCAGCUCGCGGCGGCGCUCCAGAGCAUGCCCCAGCGCAAGAUCCUGUUCACCAACUCGGACCGCGCGCACAUGAAGCGGGCGCUGGAGCGGCUGGGCGUGGACGAGGCCUGCUUCGACGGCGUCGUGUGCUUCGAGACCAUGAACCCGCACCUCUUCGGGGAGGAGCUGGAGGGCGAGGACGACGAGGCCGCCGCCGCCGACGUCGACCGCCCCGCCGUCGUCCUGAAACCGUCCGUCCACGCCUUCGUCGCCGCCCUGCGCGUCGCCGGCACAAACCCAGGCCGAACGCUCUUCCUCGACGACAGCGAGAGGAACAUCGCCGCCGGGAAAGCGCUCGGCCUCCGCACGGCCCUGGUUGGCAAGAGGGCGAGGAGCAAGGAGGCGGACUACGCGCUGGAGAGCAUCGGCGGCCUCCGGCGAGCCAUCCCGGAGAUCUGGGGCGGCGACGGCGAGCUCCAGCCCGACCACAACGUGGAGAAGAACAAGAGCAUGAGGGCCGACCUGGACGCCGUCAUCCAGCCCACCUCCAUCCAGGCCUGA